GACGAACGCUGGCGGCGUGCUUAACACAUGCAAGUCGAACGGUGAAGCGCCUUCCUUUUUGGUGGGUGUGGAUGAGUGGCGAACGGGUGAGUAACACGUGAGUAGCCUGCCCCCUUCUUCUGGAUAACCGCAUGAAAGUGUGGCUAAUACGGGAUAUUCUGGGUCUGUCGCAUGAUGGGUCUGGGAAAGAUAUUGUUUCGGUGGGGGAUGGGCUCGCGGCCUAUCAGCUUGUUGGUGGGGUGAUGGCCUACCAAGGCGGUGACGGGUAGCCGGCCUGAGAGGGUGGACGGUCACACUGGGACUGAGACACGGCCCAGACUCCUACGGGAGGCAGCAGUGGGGAAUAGUGCACAGUGGGCGCAAGCCUGAUGCAGCGACGCCGCGUGAGGGAUGGAGGCCUUCGGGUUGUGAACCUCUUUCGCCAGUGAAGCAGGCCUGCCUCGUUUGUGGGUGGGUUGACGGCAGCUGGAUAAGAAGCGCCGGCUAACUACGUG
RNAcentral lists this ribosomal RNA (494 nucleotides) under uncultured bacterium. Its description in RNAcentral is "partial 16S ribosomal RNA". It matches the Rfam family "Bacterial small subunit ribosomal RNA", at positions 28 to 507 of the family's 1533-position model. The record is from RNAcentral.